GAUAAACGCUGGCGGCGCACAUAAGACAUGCAAGUCGAACGGACUUAACUCAUUCUUUUAGAUUGAGAGCGGUUAGUGGCGGACUGGUGAGUAACACGUAAGCAACCUGCCUAUUAGAGGGGAAUAACAGUGAGAAAUCAUUGCUAAUACCGCAUAUGCUAACAGUAUCGCAUGAUACAGUUAGGAAAGGAGCAAUCCGCUAAUAGAUGGGCUUGCGUCUGAUUAGAUAGUUGGUGGGGUAACGGCCUACCAAGUCGACGAUCAGUAGCCGGACUGAGAGGUUGAACGGCCACAUUGGGACUGAGAUACGGCCCAG
RNAcentral lists this ribosomal RNA (316 nucleotides) under uncultured bacterium. RNAcentral's name for it is "bacterial SSU rRNA". It matches the Rfam family "Bacterial small subunit ribosomal RNA", at positions 28 to 334 of the family's 1533-position model. The record is from RNAcentral.